RNAcentral lists this ribosomal RNA (251 nucleotides) under uncultured prokaryote. RNAcentral's name for it is "partial 16S rRNA". It matches the Rfam family "Bacterial small subunit ribosomal RNA", at positions 525 to 775 of the family's 1533-position model. The record is from RNAcentral.
ACGUAGGUGGCAAGCGUUGUCCGGAAUUCCUGGGUGUAAAGGGAGCGCAGGCGGGAGAGCAAGUCAGCUGUGAAAACUAUGGGCUUAACCCAUAAACUGCAGUUGAAACUGUUUUUCUUGAGUGGAGUAGAGGUAGGCGGAAUUCCGAGUGUAGCGGUGAAAUGCGUAGAUAUGCGGAGGAACACCAGUGGCGAAGGCGGCCUACUGGGCUCUAACUGACGCGGAGGCGCGAAAGUGUGGGGAGCAAACAG